GGGGCAUUAGCUCAGCUGGGAGAGCGCAUGGCUGGCAGCCAUGAGGUCAGGGGUUCGAUCCCCCUAUGCUCCACCA
RNAcentral lists this transfer RNA (76 nucleotides) under Denitrobacterium detoxificans. Its description in RNAcentral is "tRNA_Ala_GGC". It matches the Rfam family "tRNA". Rfam says of the family: Transfer RNA (tRNA) molecules are approximately 80 nucleotides in length. Their secondary structure includes four short double-helical elements and three loops (D, anti-codon, and T loops). Further hydrogen bonds mediate the characteristic L-shaped molecular structure. tRNAs have two regions of fundamental functional importance: the anti-codon, which is responsible for specific mRNA codon recognition, and the 3' end, to which the tRNAs corresponding amino acid is attached (by aminoacyl-tRNA synthetases). tRNAs cope with the degeneracy of the genetic code in two manners: having more than one tRNA (with a specific anti-codon) for a particular amino acid; and 'wobble' base-pairing, i.e. permitting non-standard base-pairing at the 3rd anti-codon position. RNAcentral also lists the same sequence under 25 other names. The record is from RNAcentral. Lineage: Bacteria; Bacillati; Actinomycetota; Coriobacteriia; Eggerthellales; Eggerthellaceae.